AUUUUUUCCUUACUCUUAUAAAUUAAAAAAAUUUUUUUUACUUUUUAUUAUGGAUUCCUCUCCAUCUGACAUUCUAUCUUUUUUAUACGAUUCCCCAUUUGAAAAUUCAAGUCAUUCUCAAUUUGGUGAAGAUUUUCAGGAAAUCAUACAUUAUGCCAAAUUUAGACGGAGAAGAAAUCGAAGAAUAUUUAACAGAUCCGGUUGCUCAAACCUCUGUUGAUAUUAUAGAUUGGUGGUCUCGAAACGCUAAUCGUUUUCCAAAGCUGUCGACAAUGGCCAAGGAUAUGCGAACAAACUACGUCCGUAGCAAGCGAACGUAUUUUUUCUCGAGCCGGCGCAACCAUUACUAAGAAGAGGAAUAGGAUGUCAGCCUCAACGUUAAAACAAUGCCUAUGUAUAAAUUCAUGGGAUGUUAAUGUUUUAAAUUUGCGUGACGAAUUUUUUGUAUAAUUUGUUAUUUUUCAAUUAUUUGUUAUUUGAUUUCAUAUAAUUUUUAUUUUUUAUUUAUGAAAAUAAUAAAGAUAUGAAAAUGUGCCUUA
This is a long non-coding RNA of Gordionus sp. m RMFG-2023, 539 nucleotides long. RefSeq lists it as uncharacterized. The transcript is spliced from 2 exons. Lineage: Eukaryota; Metazoa; Nematomorpha; Gordioida; Chordodea; Parachordodidae. The record is from RefSeq and is a predicted model, not a curated record.